Zalophus californianus (California sea lion) is the source of this 103-nucleotide small nuclear RNA. NCBI's taxonomy places the organism in Eukaryota, Metazoa, Chordata, Mammalia, Carnivora, Otariidae. The record is from Ensembl.
UUGCUUUGACAGCACAUAUACUAAAAUUGGAACAAUACAGAGAACAUGAGCGUGGCCUCUGAGCAAGGAUGACAUGCAAAUCUGUGAAGAAAAAAACCAAAAA